AUGUACCACGCGUCCACUGCGGUUGUGAGCGCGCCGUCCGCGCCCAACUGACGGCCGCUCGCUCCGUUGUGGUAGCC
Xanthomonas oryzae pv. oryzae is the source of this 77-nucleotide small RNA. It matches the Rfam family "Xanthomonas sRNA sX9". The record is from Rfam. Lineage: Bacteria; Pseudomonadati; Pseudomonadota; Gammaproteobacteria; Lysobacterales; Lysobacteraceae.